RNAcentral lists this ribosomal RNA (860 nucleotides) under uncultured bacterium. RNAcentral describes it as "bacterial SSU rRNA". It matches the Rfam family "Bacterial small subunit ribosomal RNA", at positions 37 to 867 of the family's 1533-position model. The record is from RNAcentral.
AGGCGGGGGUGAUAACACAUGCAGUCUAACGGGAAAGUCGGCUCCGGCUGGCUAGUACCGUGGCGAACGGGUGUUGUAACACGUGGGUAAUCUAACCUCGAGUUUGGGAUAACCUUGCGAAAGCGGGGCUAAUACCGAAUAAGACCACGCCCAGCCCGCUGGGUGCGGUAAAAGGUGGCCUCUUCCUGAAAGCUAUCACUUGAGGAUGAGCCCGCGGCCUAUUAGCUAGUUGGUAGGGUAGCGGCCUACCAAGGCGACGAUGGGUAGCCGGCCUGAGAGGGUGUACGGCCACACUGGCACUGAGAUACGGGCCAGACUCCUACGGGAGGCAGCAGUGGGGAAUUUUGCGCAAUGGGGGAAACCCUGACGCAGCAACGCCGCGUGAGUGAUGAAGGCCUUCGGGUCGUAAAGCUCUUUUAGUGGGGAAGAAUCCCUUCCGGGCUAAUAUCCUGGAAGGAUGACGGUACCCACAGAAAAAGUUCCGGCUAACUACGUGCCAGCAGCCGCGGUAAUACGUAGGGAGCAAGCGUUGUUCGGAAUUAUUGGGCGUAAAGAGCGCGUAGGCGGUUCGGUAAGUCUGACGUGAAAUCCCGGAGCUUAACUCCGGAACUGCGUUGGAUACUGCCGGGCUUGAGUGUGGGAGAGGAGAGUGGAAUUCCCAGUGUAGAGGUGAAAUUCGUAGAUAUUGGGAGGAACACCCGUGGCGAAGGCGGCUCUCUGGACCACAACUGACGCUGAGGCGCGAAAGCUAGGGUAGCAACGGGAUUAGAUACCCCGGGUAGUCCUAGCCGUAAACGAUGGGCACUAGUGUUGGAGGUAUCGACCCCCUCCAGUGCCGCAGCUAACGGCAAUUAAGGUUG